RNAcentral lists this transfer RNA (73 nucleotides) under Tannerella sp. RNAcentral's name for it is "tRNA-Gly". It matches the Rfam family "tRNA". From Rfam's summary of the family: Transfer RNA (tRNA) molecules are approximately 80 nucleotides in length. Their secondary structure includes four short double-helical elements and three loops (D, anti-codon, and T loops). The record is from RNAcentral. Lineage: Bacteria; Pseudomonadati; Bacteroidota; Bacteroidia; Bacteroidales; Tannerellaceae.
GCGGUAGUAGCUCAGUCGGUAGAGCAUUAGCUUCCCAAGCUGAGGGUCGCGGGUUCGAGUCCCGUCUACCGCU